UUUCGUUACUUGCUCUUCUGUAGCCGAAGGAUUAGGUUCUAUGUUUAAACCUUAGGCCAGAUUGCAGAUGUAUCUUCAGACGUUUAAUUAUUGUUACCUGCAUCGUGACAGUAUCUGUCUGAGUUUUUCGCCUGUAUCAAGUACCCAAAAGUUUGUAUGAUGCCCCCCAAACGGCAACGGUGAAUUGUUAAAUAUGUAAAGAAGGUGUGUAAAAUUUCAGUUGUUUCUUCAGAUAUAAGGAUGACCAGUCACCACCAUUUUAAAAUGUAACUGUAUUCUUACUAUUAUCUCCAUAAAUAAACGUUAGAUUGAUUUUA
Long non-coding RNA from Stegodyphus dumicola, 317 nucleotides. RefSeq lists it as uncharacterized. NCBI's taxonomy places the organism in Eukaryota, Metazoa, Arthropoda, Arachnida, Araneae, Eresidae. The record is from RefSeq and is a predicted model, not a curated record.